This 1658-nucleotide ribosomal RNA is filed under the name human gut metagenome. RNAcentral's name for it is "bacterial LSU rRNA". It matches the Rfam family "Bacterial large subunit ribosomal RNA", at positions 823 to 2496 of the family's 2925-position model. The record is from RNAcentral.
GAAAUUCCAAUCGAACCCGGAGAUAGCUGGUUCUCCCCGAAAUAGCUUUAGGGCUAGCGUCGAGGUAGAGAGUUGCGUGAAGGUAGAGCACUGAAUAUGUGAUGGCCCCAUCUCGGGGUACUGAGCAUAAUCAAACUGCGAAUGUCACGGAAACAUACUCGGCAGUCAGACAGCGGGUGAUAAGGUCCGUUGUCAAGAGGGAAACAGCCCAGACCAUCAGCUAAGGUCCCAAAAUGUAUGCUAAGUGGAAAAGGAUGUGGAGAUGUACAGACAACUAGGAGGUUGGCUCAGAAGCAGCCAUCCUUUAAAGAGUGCGUAACAGCUCACUAGUCGAAUGACUCUGCGCCGAUAAUUUACCGGGGCUAAGCAUACUACCGAAGCUAUGGAUCCCAAGGGAUGGUAGGGGAGCGUUCCAUGAACGGAGAAGCGCGAUCGAGAGGACGCGUGGAGAUCAUGGAAGAGAGAAUGCCGGUGUGAGUAGCGGAACGUGGGUGAGAAUCCCACGCACCGAAAACCCAAGGUUUCCAGAGGAAGGUUCGUCCGCUCUGGGUAAGUCGGGACCUAAGGCGAGGCCGAGAGGCGUAGUCGAUGGACAACAGGUAGAGAUUCCUGUACUCAUAUAUAUGUGAAGGAAUGACGGAGAGAGGAAGCUGCAGCCAGCGGCUGGAAGAGCUGGUGCAAGCGAGAUAUCGGGAUGGCAGGCAAAUCCACCAUCCGAAACGAGAAGGCGUGAAGCGUACGGAAAGCUAAGGCGAGUACGGAAGGCAGUGGAGGAGCUUCCAAGAAAAGUUUCUAACGAAAGUAUAUGUGACCCGUACCGAAAAUGGACACACAUGGGUGAGGAGAGAAUCCUAAGGUGAGCGAGAGAACUAUAGCUAAGGAACUCUGCAAAAUGACUCCGUAACUUAGGGAGAAGGAGUGCUCAUAGAGAUAUGAGCCGCAGUGAAACGGCCCAAGCGACUGUUUACCAAAAACACAGCUCUCUGCUAAGCCGCAAGGCGAAGUAUAGGGGGUGACGCCUGCCCGGUGCUGGAAGGUUAAGGGGAGGGGUUAACGCAAGUGAAGCCCUGAACUGAAGCCCCAGUAAACGGCGGCCGUAACUAUAACGGUCCUAAGGUAGCGAAAUUCCUUGUCAGGUAAGUUCUGACCCGCACGAAAGGCGUAACGAUUUGGGCGCUGUCUCAGCUGUAGACUCGGUGAAGUCUUAGUACCUGUGAAGAUGCAGGUUACCCGCGACUAGACGGAAAGACCCCAUGGAGCUUCACUGCAGGUUGAUAUUGGGAUUUGAUGCAGCAUGUACAGGAUAGGUAGGAGGCAAAGAGAUGGAUACGCCAGUAUUCAAGGAGCCGCUGUUGGGAUACUACCCCUGUUGUAUUGGAUUUCUAACCGGACGACGUAAAGCCGUUGACGGGACAGUGUCAGUCGGGCAGUUUGACUGGGGCGGUCGCCUCCCAAAGAGUAACGGAGGCGCCCAAAGAUACCCUCAGCUUGGAUGGAAACCAAGCGCAGAGUGCAAAGGCAAAAGGGUGUUUGACUGCGAGACCUACAAGUCGAGCAGGGACGAAAGUCGGGCUUAGUGAUCCGGCGGUGCUGAAUGGAAAGGCCGUCGCUCAACGGAUAAAAGCUACCCUGGGGAUAACAGGCUGAUCUCCCCCAAG